RNAcentral lists this ribosomal RNA (278 nucleotides) under uncultured Lachnospiraceae bacterium. RNAcentral describes it as "partial 16S ribosomal RNA". It matches the Rfam family "Bacterial small subunit ribosomal RNA", at positions 66 to 339 of the family's 1533-position model. The record is from RNAcentral. Lineage: Bacteria; Bacillati; Bacillota; Clostridia; Lachnospirales; Lachnospiraceae.
AUGAAGUUUUCGGAUGGAUUUAAAGCAGCUUAGUGGCGGACGGGUGAGUAACGCGUGGGUAACCUGCCUCACACGUGGGGGAUAACAGUUAGAAAUAGCUGCUAAUACCGCAUAAGCGCACAGUGCCACAUGGUACGGUGUAGAAAAACUCCGGUGGUAUGAGAUGGACCCGCGUCUGAUUAGCUAGUUGGCGGGGUAACGGCCCACCAAGGCGACGAUCAGUAGCCGACCUGAGAGGGUGACCGGCCACAUUGGGACUGAGACACGGCCCAAACUCC